This 1751-nucleotide small RNA is filed under the name Arabidopsis thaliana (thale cress). RNAcentral describes it as "ATSL289040". Lineage: Eukaryota; Viridiplantae; Streptophyta; Magnoliopsida; Brassicales; Brassicaceae. The record is from RNAcentral.
UUUCUGCCAAGAAUAUGUUUUGUUCUGCCAACUAAAUUAAAAAAUUUAAGAGAAUUAAGAAUAUAUAAUGCCCAAAUGGUCAAAUGACAAAUCGUUAUCAUUAUAGAGUAUUUGUUUAAGCAAGUUUACCAAGCUUGCGAAACUUGUUGGAGUAGUUUGUCUAUGUUAAUUCUGUACGUAGGGAACUUUGUUUUUAUUUUUAUUUUCAAUUAUGUGUUAGAUAUUGUUAGUGCACCCUCUAUCAGGACAGACCAGAAGGAGUGCUGAUUGCUGGAACAAGCUGGAAGCUGUUUCAGAAGACUAAAGUGAAGAUCAAGUAAUUGAUGCUGACGUGGAUAUAUCGCCAAAUGAACGAAUGACGUGGAAAUCACAACAGGAUGAGUUCAGUUUGGAGAGGAGAUAUUCGCGCGAAGAUUUGGUGUGAUCCAAGAUCUCGAAGGCUAACCUAGAAGACCAAAGACCUCGAUAGUAUAAAUAGAGGUGCUAAGGUUCUUGUUAGACUUGGCCGUGAUAGUUGUGAAAAGUAAGUGCAAAGCUUUUCAUUGUGAGAGAGUAAGGUUUACUCUGAUUAGGAUUCUAGAGAAAUCAAAGAGUGUGUUCUUGUGAUUAUCUCUUGUGUGUGUUAGGAAAUCUAAGGUGACAAACUAAAGUAGUUUAGAUCUUGUGUAAAACCUAUUAAGGUAGUUGUAAACUUCUUAAUCAGAUUUCUAAUAAAGUAAGACUCAGUGGUUCUGAGUUUGGGGAAUAUAGUUCUUGGUUCAUCCGGAUUUUCAAUUGGUAUCAGAGCAGGCAUCUGAACCAAGUUGUACUUAACAACAGGUGCAGAUCCUGCGGAGAGGAUGGACUACCCCAAAGAGUUCGUUGCGGUUGGUAAGGCAAUUAUGCUGGAAAAAGGAAAUUACGGUCACUGGAAAGUAAAGAUGAGAGCUCUAAUACGUGGUCUGGGAAAGGAAGCCUGGAUUGCCACUAGUGUUGGAUGGAAAGCUCCGGUUGUCAAAGGGGAAAACGGAGAGGAUGUGCUGAAAACUGAAGAUCAGUGGACUGAUGCAGAAGAAGCAAAGGCCACGGCAAACUCAAGAGCUCUGUCUUUGAUUUUCAACUCUGUAAAUCAGAAUCAGUUCAAGCGAAUUCAAAACUGUGAGUCAGCUAAAGAAGCGUGGGAUAAACUCGCUAAAGCUUAUGAAGGUACUAGCAGUGUCAAACGGUCCAGAAUCGAUAUGUUAGCUUCUCAGUUUGAAAAUCUCACUAUGGACGAAUCUGAAAACAUUGAGGAGUUUAGUGGAAAAAUAAGUGCUAUAGCAAGUGAAGCACAUAAUCUUGGGAAAAAAUACAAAGACAAGAAAUUGGUCAAGAAACUGCUGAGAUGUCUUCCAUCUAGAUUCGAAAGCAAGAGAACUGCUAUGGGGACGUCGCUGGACACUGACACGAUAGAUUUCGAAGAAGUAGUAGGAAUGCUUCAAGCAUAUGAGUUGGAAAUCACUUCAGGAAAGGGAGGCUACUCUAAAGGAGUUGCAUUAGCUGUAUCAUCAGAGAAAAACGAGAUUCAGGAAUUAAAAGAUUCAAUGAGUAUGAUGGCUAAAAACUUCAGCAGAGCAAUGAAACGAGUUGAGAAAAGAGGAUUUGCAAGAAAUCAGGGUUCAGACAGAGACAGAGACAGAGACAGAGAUCGUAACUCAAAGAGAAGUGAAAUUCAAUGUCACGAAUGUCAAGGGUACGGACAUAUCAAAGCUGAGUGUCCCUCUUUAAAGAGA